Ovis aries (sheep) is the source of this 140-nucleotide long non-coding RNA. It matches the Rfam family "NPPA antisense RNA 1 conserved region 1". NCBI's taxonomy places the organism in Eukaryota, Metazoa, Chordata, Mammalia, Artiodactyla, Bovidae. The record is from Rfam.
AGGAUACCGCCCCACAGGCAGAUUCCCCCAGUGUCCAACCAGAAGAAAUCAGACCUUGGUGCCAGCCUCCACCUCUCAGGGCUUUUGGGUCACAUUUUGUUUUGCCUGAAAUGUGAUUUCUUAGUCUCUGGGUGGUCUGC